Molecule: long non-coding RNA, 230 nt
Filed under: Neogale vison (American mink)
Lineage: Eukaryota; Metazoa; Chordata; Mammalia; Carnivora; Mustelidae
Description: Neovison vison (American mink) lncRNA (ENSNVIG00000021271.1)
Source: RNAcentral
GGCAUUAUAAUGAUCAUAAAAUGACUGCCUCUUUUCCCUUUCAUACCAAAACAGUCUCUACCAAUUAAGUUCAAAAUUUGAAGGAAUUAAGCUUCCAAAAAUCAUCUACCCAGAAAAAAGCUUUUGAGAAAAAUCUGAAUAUUAUCCAGGGCUACAAUAUUGCGACAGUCAAAGAGAGGAAUCAAACUAAAAUGAUUGAGGGUAGCGUGAAGGGAAAGUAGUGAGAGGCU